CCGGCACGGGUGAGUAACACGUAUCCAACCUGCCGUCUACUCUUGGACAGCCUUCUGAAGGAAGAUUAAUACAAGAUGGCAUCAUGAGUCCGCAUGUUCACAUGAUUAAAGGUAUUCCGGUAGACGAUGGGGAUGCGUUCCAUUAGAUAGUAGGCGGGGUAACGGCCCACCUAGUCUUCGAUGGAUGGGGGUUCUGAGAGGAAGGUCCCCCACAUUGGAACUGAGACACGGUCCAA
Molecule: ribosomal RNA, 236 nt
Filed under: uncultured bacterium
Lineage: Bacteria
Description: partial 16S ribosomal RNA
Rfam family: Bacterial small subunit ribosomal RNA
Source: RNAcentral